This 722-nucleotide long non-coding RNA is filed under the name Mus musculus (house mouse). Its description in RNAcentral is "long non-coding RNA chrX:62372092-62372814". The record is from RNAcentral. Lineage: Eukaryota; Metazoa; Chordata; Mammalia; Rodentia; Muridae.
AACAGCAGUGAAGCUGCCAGCACCUUUGCUGCCACUGAUGAUGGAAGGGAAUGGAAAGGGCUGUGAACACUGCAGGAUUUUGAGAAUGAGGAGGACAACAGCCACAACAUGAGUAGCUUGAGUCCAGGCAAUGACACUGGAGACAAAAAGAAGAAAAAGAAACAAAAGAAGAAGAAAGAGAAAGGCAACCACAUGAAUUCCACCAACUGCCAGAGACUCCCUAAAGAGCUGGGCUACAACCAAUGGAAAAGAAGGACAUCCCAUUAGUGCAUCAGCUGCUCAGCAGGUACCUGAAGCAGUUUCACCUCACCCCUGUCAUGAAUCAAUCGGGAGGAGGUAGAGCACUGGUUCUUCCCCCAGGAGAACAUCAUUGACACUUUUGUGGUAGAGAAUGCUAAUGGUGAGGUGACUGAUUUCCUGAGCUUUUUUUUUUAAUACACUUCCCUCCAUCAUCGUAAACCAUCCAACCUAGAAGAGUCUGAAAGCUAUACGUACUUCUUCACAAUGUCCACAUCCAGACCCCUCUUCUAGACCUUAUUAGCAAUGCCCUUGUUCUAGCCAGAAUGAAAAGUUUCAAUGUAUUCAAUGCACUGGAUCUCAUGGAGAACAAAACAUUUCUGGAGAAGCUCAAGUUCUGCAUAGGGGACUGCAACCUGCAGUAUUACCUGUACAGUUAGAAGUGCCUGAGCAUGGGGGAAGAGAAAGUUGGGCUGGUGUUACAG